GUGAAUCAUCAAAUCUUUGAACGCAUAUUGCACUCUCUGGUAUUCCGGAGAGUAUGCCGGUUUGAGGGUCAGUUUAAAUAAUAUAAGGUCUGAGAGUUCUCUGAAUUUAAAAUGGGUCGGCCAUUUGUUGUGGUCGCCUAAGAUCAAAGACAAGCACAUUUGCUUGGGUUUCUUGAUACUUUCAGUUACCUCGUGACGUAAGCUGGAGUCAUCGAGCGC
This 219-nucleotide unclassified non-coding RNA is filed under the name Archaeospora sp. RNAcentral's name for it is "partial contains 5.8S ribosomal RNA and internal transcribed spacer 2". The stretch from base 1 to 71 matches the Rfam family "5.8S ribosomal RNA", at positions 84 to 154 of the family's 154-position model. Lineage: Eukaryota; Fungi; Glomeromycota; Glomeromycetes; Archaeosporales; Archaeosporaceae. The record is from RNAcentral.